GUGCAGUCUGGGAUUCGUCAGUCUUGGUUAUAAGGUUCAGUGUCAUACAGUUAAAAUGUAACUGAGUUUUUCAAGAGAACUUUACUAUGAAUUAAUCUCGGAUGAUUU
Molecule: microRNA precursor, 108 nt
Filed under: Schistosoma mansoni
Lineage: Eukaryota; Metazoa; Platyhelminthes; Trematoda; Strigeidida; Schistosomatidae
Description: microRNA sma-mir-8417 precursor
Source: miRBase by way of RNAcentral